RNAcentral lists this ribosomal RNA (253 nucleotides) under uncultured bacterium. Its description in RNAcentral is "partial 16S ribosomal RNA". It matches the Rfam family "Bacterial small subunit ribosomal RNA", at positions 524 to 776 of the family's 1533-position model. The record is from RNAcentral.
UACAGAGGGUGCUAGCGUUGCUCGGAAUUACUGGGCGUAAAGGGAGCGUAGGCGGACAUUUAAGUCAGGGGUGAAAUCCCAGAGCUCAACUCUGGAACUGCCUUUGAUACUGGGUGUCUUGAGUGUGAUAGAGGUAUGUGGAACUCCGAGUGUAGAGGUGAAAUUCGUAGAUAUUCGGAAGAACACCAGUGGCGAAGGCGACAUACUGGAUCAUUACUGACGCUGAGGCUCGAAAGCGUGGGGAGCAAACAGG